AUGAGAAAGCAGCAGAACUUUCUGCUCUCACGAAAAACCUUGAAGAUUACAAAAGUGAAUCUAUUCAGCUGAAGGAGAAAUUGGGUCAGAGGGAAGUGGAAUGCUCAGCUCUGUCUGAGAUGCAUGAGCUGCAUAAGAGUAAAACAUUGGCUCAAAUUACGGGAUUAGAGGCUGCUGUGGCAGGGCUGGAACUGGAGCUGGAAUCUUUGCGAGGUCAGAAAACAGAUAUAGAAGUUGAGAUUGAGAACAAAGAAACUCAAGUGAAACAACUAGCAGAAGAGAACGCGGGACUGCAAGCCCGAAUUUCACAACUUGAAUCAAUAUCAAAUGAGAGAGAAGCCGAAUUUUCUUCCCUGGCAAAGAAAUUUGAGGACAGCAGUAAUGAAUAUGGUCAGCUACAGGAGAAACUGGGUCAGAGGGAAGUGGAACACUCAACUCUGUCUGAGAUGCAUGAGCUGCAUAAGAGUAAAACAUUGGCUCAAAUUACAGGUUUAGAGGCUGCUGUGGCAGGGCUGGAACUGGAGCUGGAAUCUUUGCGAGAUCAGAAAAAAGAUAUAGAAGUUGAGAUUGAGAAGAAAGAAACUCAAGUGAAACAACUAGCCGAAGAGAAUGCGGGAUUGCAAGCCCAAACUUCAGAACUUGAAUCAAUAUCAAAUGAGAGAGAAGCUGAACUUUCUGCUCUCACCAAAAAACUUGGGGAGAUCAAUGGUGAAUCUAUUCAGCAGAAGGAGCAAUUGGAUCAGAAGGAAAAGGAAUACUCAGCUCUGUCUGAGAAGCAUGAGCUGCAUGAGAGUAAAACAUCGGCUCAAAUCCUGGGAUUAGAGGCUGCUGUGGCAGGGCUGGAACUGGAGCUAAGAUCUUUGCGAGGUCAGAAAGAAGAUAUAGAUGUUGAGAUUGAGAACAAAGAAACUCAAGUGAAACAACUAGCAGAAGAGAAUGUGGGACUGCAAGCCCGAAUUUCACAACUUGAAUCAAUAUCAAAUGAGAGAGAAGCCGAAUUUUCUUCCCUGGAGAAGAAAUUUGAGGACAGCAGUAAUGAAUAUGGUCGGCUGCAGGAAAAACUGGGUCAGAGGGAAGUGGAACACUCAACUCUGUCUGAGAUGCAUGAGCUGCAUAAGAGUAAAACAUUGGCUCAAAUUACGGGAUUAGAGGCUGCUGUGGCAGGGCUGGAACUGGAGCUGGAAUCUUUGCGAGAUCAGAAAAAAGAUAUAGAAGUUGAGAUUGAGAAGAAAGAAACUCAAGUGAAACAACUAGCCGAAGAGAAUGCGGGAUUGCAAGCCCAAACUUCAGAACUUGAAUCAAUAUCAAAUGAGAGAGAAGCUGAACUUUCUCUCACCAAAAAACUUGAGGAGAUCAAUAGUGAAUCUAUUCAGCUGAAGGAGCAAUUGGAUCAGAAGGAAAGGGAAUACUCAGCUCUGUCUGAGAAGCAUGAGCUGCAUGAGAGUAAAACAUCGGCUCAAAUCCUGGGAUUAGAGGCUGCUGUGGCAGGGCUGGAACUGGAGCUGAGAUCUUUGCGAGGUCAGAAAGAAGAUAUAGAUGUUGAGAUUGAGAACAAAGAAACUCAAGUGAAACAACUAGCAGAAGAGAAUGUGGGACUGCAAGCCCGAAUUUCACAACUUGAAUCAAUAUCAAAUGAGAGAGAAGCCGAAUUUUCUUCCCUGGCGAAGAAAUUUGAGGACAGCAGUAAUGAAUAUGGUCGGCUGCAGGAAAAACUGGGUCAGAGGGAAGUGGAACACUCAACUCUGUCUGAGAUGCAUGAGCUGCAUAAGAGUAAAACUUUGGCUCAAAUUACAGGUUUAGAGGCUGCUGUGGCAGGGCUGGAACUGGAGCUGGAUCUUUGAGAGGUCAGAAAAAAAGAUAUAGAAGUUGAGAUUGAGAAGAAAGAAACUCAAGUGAAACAACUAGCCGAAGAUAAUGCGGGAUUGCAAGCCCAAACUUCAGAACUUGUAUCAAUAUCAAAUGAGAGAGAAGCUGAACGUUCUGCUCUCACCACAAAACUUGAGGAGAUCAAUAGUGAAUCUAUUCAGCUGAAGGAGCAAUUGGAUCAGAAGGAAAAGGAAUACUCAGCUCUGUCUGAGAAGCAUGAGCUGCAUGAGAGUAAAACAUCGGCUCAAAUCCUGGGAUUAGAGGCUGCUGUGGCAGGGCUGGAACUGGAGCUGAGAUCUUUGCGAGGUCAGAAAGAAGAUAUAGAUGUUGAGAUUGAGAACAAAGAAACUCAAGUAAAACAACUAGCAGAAGAGAAUGUGGGACUGCAAGCCCGAAUUUCACAACUUGAAUCAAUAUCAAAUGAGAGAGAAGCCGAAUUUUCUUCCCUGGCGAAGAAAUUUGAGGACAGCAGUAAUGAAUAUGGUCGGCUGCAGGAAAAACUGGGUCAGAGGGAAGUGGAACACUCAACUCUGUCUGAGAUGCAUGAGCUGCAUAAGAGUAAAACUUUGGCUCAAAUUACAGGUUUAGAGGCUGCUGUGGCAGGGCUGGAACUGGAGCUGGAAUCUUUGAGAGGUCAGAAAAAAGAUAUAGAAGUUGAGAUUGAGAAGAAAGAAACUCAAGUGAAACAACUAGCCGAAGAUAAUGCGGGAUUGCAAGCCCAAACUUCAGAACUUGUAUCAAUAUCAAAUGAGAGAGAAGCUGAACGUUCUGCUCUCACCACAAAACUUGAGGAGAUCAAUAGUGAAUCUAUUCAGCUGAAGGAGCAAUUGGAUCAGAAGGAAAAGGAAUACUCAGCUCUGUCUGAGAAGCAUGAGCUGCAUGAGAGUAAAACAUCGGCUCAAAUCCUGGGAUUAGAGGCUGCUGUGGCAGGGCUGGAACUGGAGCUGAGAUCUUUGCGAGGUCAGAAAGAAGAUAUAGAUGUUGAGAUUGAGAACAAAGAAACUCAAGUAAAACAACUAGCAGAAGAGAAUGUGGGACUGCAAGCCCGAAUUUCACAACUUGAAUCAAUAUCAAAUGAGAGAGAAGCCGAAUUUUCUUCCCUGGCGAAGAAAUUUGAGGACAGCAGUAAUGAAUAUGGUCGGCUACAGGAAAAACUGGGUCAGAGGGAAGUGGAACACUCAACUCUGUCUGAGAUGCAUGAGCUGCAUAAGAGUAAAACUUUGGCUCAAAUUACAGGUUUAGAGGCUGCUGUGGCAGGGCUGGAACUGGAGCUGGAAUCUUUGCGAGAUCAGAAAAAAGAUAUAGAAGUUGAGAUUGAGAAGAAAGAAACUCAAGUGAAACAACUAGCCGAAGAGAAUGCGGGAUUGCAAGCCCAAACUUCAGAACUUGUAUCAAUAUCAAAUGAGAGAGAAGCUGAACUUUCUGCUCUCACCAAAAAACUUGAGGAGAUCAAUAGUGAAUCUAUUCAGCUGAAGGAGAAAUUGGGUCAGAGGGAAGUGGAAUACUCAGCUCUGUCUGAGAUGCAUGAGCUGCAUAAGAGUAAAACAUUUGCUCAAAUUACGGGAUUAGAGGCUGCUGUGGCAGGGCUGGAACUGGAGCUGGAAUCUUUGCGAGGUCAGAAAACAGAUAUCGAAGUUGAGAUUGAGAACAAAG
RNAcentral lists this long non-coding RNA (3519 nucleotides) under Malus domestica (apple). RNAcentral describes it as "long non-coding RNA (MDOM_LNC006160)". The record is from RNAcentral. Lineage: Eukaryota; Viridiplantae; Streptophyta; Magnoliopsida; Rosales; Rosaceae.